CCUACGGGGGCAGCAGUGAGGAAUACUGGUCAAUGGGCGCGAGCCUGAACCAGCCAAGUCGCGUGAAGGAUGACUGUCCUACGGGAUGUAAACUUCUAUUAUCAAGGAAUAAAGUGAGGCAAGUGGGCCUUUUUGUAUGUACUUUCUGAAUCAGGAUCGGAUAACUCCGUGCAAGCAGCCGCGGUAAUACGGGGGAUCCGAGGGUUAGCCGGAUUUCGUGGGGGUAAGGGUAGCGUAGAUGGGGUGGUAAGUCUGUUGUGAAAGUUUGCGGCUCAAACGUAAAAUUGCAAUUGAUACUGGCAGUCUUGAGUACAGUUGAGGUAGGCGGAAUUCGUGGUGUAGCGGUGAAAUGCUUAGAUAUCACGAAGAACUCCGAUUGCGAAGGCAGCUUACUAAACUGCCACUGACAUUGAUGCUCGAAAGUGUGGGUAUCAAACAGGAUUAGAUACCCCAGUAGUA
This 459-nucleotide ribosomal RNA is filed under the name uncultured bacterium. Its description in RNAcentral is "partial 16S ribosomal RNA". It matches the Rfam family "Bacterial small subunit ribosomal RNA", at positions 338 to 795 of the family's 1533-position model. The record is from RNAcentral.